This 5021-nucleotide unclassified non-coding RNA is filed under the name Orussus abietinus. RNAcentral's name for it is "leukocyte tyrosine kinase receptor, transcript variant X1". The record is from RNAcentral. Lineage: Eukaryota; Metazoa; Arthropoda; Insecta; Hymenoptera; Orussidae.
GCCGAAGCUCUUCCUAACGCGUUACCGGCGACGUCCGGCAGUCAGUGGAAGUCAGUGGCAGUCAGCGGUAGACAACGGCAGGGUGCGGACGUGUACGGAACGUCGAGAUCGGACGAAUCCGCGGUUACCGGGAGACGGGAGGCUGUCACCAUCCGAUGGCGCUUCGCGUUGGAGCCAGUAAACGUUCUCCUUGCACGUACCGCCGGCUUGUUCCAUUCUCAGCUCGGUUCGCUGGAAAGCCUCGAGAGGAGAUGCGGCGGCCGGUCCCGUGAGGGGCCGAAGGGAUGCCUCCGGGGGCCGCCCUCCUCGGGCUGGCCGUCGGCCUCUGGUGCGUCCUGGGCGCGCGGCCCAGGGGGAUCUCGGAGCUGCAGGCCGCGCUGGAGUCGCCGCUGCUGGGCCGUUGCGACUUCGAGGAGACCUGCGACUGGCGCUGGAACCGCACCGGGCCCGGCUUCGUCCGCGUCCCGGCGAGCUCCGCGGGUCGGCGCGGACCCGCCUUCGACGCCGCCGGCCUGGAGCACGGACACUUUCUGCGGCUGGUCGGCAGGGGCGAGGGCCAGAUCUGGUCGGGCCCGAUCCCUCGCACCGGCACGCGCUGCCUCCUGGAGCUGGCCCUGCACCAGGUGGAGAUGAGGAACGGCGCCGUCCGCCUCGUCAUCGAGACGAGCAACCGCACGAGCUGGGUCGCCGCGGAGCGAUCGGGCAACGACCGCGCGACGUGGGAGGUGACCCGCUUCAACUUGGGCGCCAUCAGUCAGCCGUACCGGCUGGUCUUCGAGGUCGUCGCCCCCUUCGCCAACUCCAGCCUGGCCGUCGACGACAUUCGCCUGGUGGACUGUUUCCCAGAGUCGACGCCCGUCGGAGCCGUCUGCACGGACGACGCGUUCCGCUGCAACAACGGAUCCUGUCUGAACAAGACCCGAGUCUGCGACCUGACCGCCGACUGCGAAGACGGGGAGGACGAGGUCGCGGACUGUGAGAAGAUGCCGGAAACCGCGCGGUGCAACUUCGAGAGCGGAUGGUGCGGGUGGACCAACGUCCCGGACAGGCCGCUCAACUGGACGCUGCAUCGCGGACCCACGCCGACGGAGAGGACGGGCCCGAGCUACGACCACACUUUUCGGAACCGCACCGGGACUUACGCCUUCGUCGACAUGUCCAAGCGGGCCGACUACGGGAGUCGCGGGACCAUCGAGAGUCCCCUCUUCAACCCUACCCCACCCUACAGCGGCGACCCUACGAAUCCGUACUUCCAGUCUUGCCAGGUCCGAUUUUUCUACCAUCAGUACGGGACGCACAGUGGAUCCCUCGGAUUGUACGUGGUCCAGGUAAAGCCGCAUCAGAAUCAGUUGGACAGGCUGUGGUGGACUUACGGCGAUAGACACGACAUUUGGUACAACCAGGCAGUUCCUCUCCCGGACAUACGGCACAGGUACUUCUUGCAGUUCGAGGCGAGCAAGGGGUACACCUCCAAGAGCGACGUGGCCAUCGAUGACUUUUCUCUGAGCCCUGAGUGUUUUGGCAUCGGUGUUCCCCCGGAAAUCGUGGGAGAUUUCAACUACUACAAUCCCGUAAUCGAGCGGGAACACGAGUCGAAGCAGCAUGCCGACUUCGUCAAUGAAACGGUCGUGAGGAUCACUACGUGCGGUGCUCGCGGGAGGAUGGGUCCUACCGGGGACAAGUGCAACGAGAGACACAACGGCACCGACGUGGAGCUCUUGACGUCCAUGUCGGCCCCCUCGGGGUCUUCGUCUUCGAACGAAGACGCCGCGGUCCUGAGUCUGAAGGGGAUCCAAAGGUGGACCGCCCCGCGCGGCGGAUAUUAUACAUUGAUCGGGAUGGGAGCACACGGCGGAAGGGGCUCCGGCGGGAUGGGAAGUACGUUAGGUGCCACGGUGCGAGGCGUCAUCGAAUUGGAGAAAGGACAACAACUCUACUUCAUGAUAGGGCAGCCUGGAACGGAUGCAUGUCCGAAAAGUCUGGGACUACAGACUCACUUUUGCCAGCGUCCAAGUAAAGCUGGCUUUCAGAACUCGAGAAUUACGUCCAUAGUGCGGGAGGUGAAGAAAAUCAAGUUAAAAGACGGCGGAGGUGGUGGUGGCGGAGCCACUUACGUUUUCCAGGUGAAGCCAAACGGGGAGCAAGAACCGCUGCUGAUAGCAGCCGGCGGAGGAGGUCUGGGACUGGGUCAGUUCGUCGACGACGGAAUCCAGCACGGUCGAGGUGCCCCUCCAGGGAGAAGCCCAGGGUCCGGUAUUGCCUUCAAAACCGAGAGCGGUAACGUCGGCGGCGGCGGCGGAGGCUGGAUCGGCGAUGCGGCCACAAAUACCUCGGCCGCCGAGGCGUCGAAGGGCAUGCCCCUGGUCCUGGGCGGACAAGGUGGAGUUGGAUGCGGAGACCUGGCCAAUUCAAGUGGCGGCCACGGAGACGGUGGCUUUGGCGGUGGUGGUGGAGGCUGUCUCACCGGGGGAGGCGGCGGCGGUUACAUCGGAGGGAGCACGGGCUACCGAGAGUCGGGGAACGGAGAGGGCGGCUACUCGUACGCCAGUCCGGAGCUCCUGCACGUCGCCUUCCUGCCAGGGACGAACCAGGGUCCAGGCGAGGCCCUCGUCGUUCCGGCCAUCAGCGGAUGCGGAUGCGACUUCCGGUGCGCAGUUAUGGACCGACACCUUGGCCACACCAGGUGUCUGUGCCCUCCGGGCUGGCGACUGGGCAACGAUUCGCGCUCUUGUCUGAUGGCCGACGAAUCGGACGUCGCUCAUCGGACGUUUAUGAUCCUGCUCGUGGCAGUGAGCAUCGGCCUAUUGUUCGCCUUCUCUGGACUGUGUUUACUGUUGUAUAACCGGUACCAGCACCGGAAAGCUCUCUCUAGACGCAGGCAAGUCAUGUUCGGCAACGGGACGGAGCUUACCGCAUUGAGAGUGGUGUCCGAUAACAUGAUGACCGAGUUCAAUCCGAAUUACGAGUUUGCCGGCAAUCUGUACAGCUUUAAGGACCUGCCGCAGAUUCCCCGCGACAGCAUCUCGCUAGUAAAGCCCCUGGGUCAAGGAGCCUUUGGCGAAGUGUUUCAAGGUGUGUACAAGUACAGGCGAAACGAGGAGCACCCAGUGGCCGUGAAGACGUUGCCAUCGUUAUCGACGUCUCAAGCCGAGGCUGAUUUCAUGAUGGAGGCACUCAUCAUGAGCAAGUUCAACCACCCGAAUAUCGUGCACUUUAUCGGUGUUUCGUUCGACAAGCAUCCGAGAUACAUCGUGCUGGAGCUAUUGGCUGGUGGCGACCUGAAGAACUUUCUGCGCGAAGAGAGGCCACGUCCUGAUCGGCCAACGGCACUGACUAUGCAAGAUCUGGUGACGUGUGCCUACGACGUGGCGAGCGGAUGCAAGUACAUGGAGGACGCUCGGUUCAUCCACAGAGACAUCGCCGCAAGAAACUGUCUUUUGACUUGUAAGGGCAGAGGGCGCAUCGUCAAGAUCGCCGACUUCGGGAUGGCCAGGGACAUUUACAGGAGCGAUUACUACAGAAAAGGCGGGAAAGCCAUGCUGCCCAUUAAAUGGAUGCCUCCGGAAAGCUUUCUCGACGGCAUUUUCACGACGAAAACCGACGUCUGGGCGUUUGGAGUUCUACUCUGGGAGAUCAUGUCCUUCGGGUACAUGCCGUACACCGGAUGUGCCAAUAGGGAGGUCAUGUCAAUGGUGACGACUGGCGGACGGCUGGAAAGACCGGCUGGAUGUCCGGAUCCCAUUUAUGGGAUAAUGACUCGGUGUUGGCAUCCUCAUCCCGAAGACAGACCAAGCUUUACGACCAUUGUCGAAAGGAUAGGCUACUGUCUGCAGGAUCCAGAUGUCUUGAACCAUCCAAUGCCGAACUACGACAUCUUGCCAGUCUGCGAGCGAGAAAUAACCAUAAUGAGGCCCGAUCCGGAAACAGAAUGUAUUAAUGUACAGACAAAUCUGGACGGUUACGUGCAACCGAGAACCGACUUUCGGGCUGUGUCUUAUCACGCAACGCCGGCUGAGCCGGCCGAGCCGGCCAAACCGGUCGAAUCGACCGAAUCGACCGAAUCGACCGAGUCGACCGAAUCGACCGAAUCGACCGAAUCGACCGAAUCGAGCGCGAUUCGAUCCUCGUCGAGACAACGCGUCCUGAACGACGAGGAGGCGCCCUUGGCGAGCCGAAGUCGACCAACGACCCGACCGAUCGACGAAGGUUCCGAAUUCGAGGACAGUCGGCAGGAGAAUCGGCCGGGAAACAGAGAGGAACCCGGGGCGAAGGAGCAGGUCUACGCGAACGACGGUCCUAGGGACGGAGAGUACCGCGAUCCCGUUCGCGUCAACGGGGAGGCGGACCCCAGGGCAGGCUCCAGCUCCGAUCCCACCACGAGUGCGAGCGCCAAUGGCAUUCCAAGGAAAGGACCGCUGAAAGCGACCCUGAGUCUGGACCCCAACGCUCUUCGCGAGAGGACGCAGAGUCGGCCGGGAGGGCCACGCUCGCGGGUCGAGCCCCUGGAGUCGUCAUCUGCCGGCAACGACCCCCGAAAAGAUUCCAUGGGGCACGAGUGGCCGAGAGAGGAGGAGUGCUCUUGCUGAGGGUCCGCCGCCGUCCGAUUUGACUCCGAGCGCGUCGAGGAGUCGGUGCCGCGGACGACGAUGGAAAACGGCACCGAACUCUGCGAUUCGGGCCGAUCGGAGGGAUCGUGGACGAUGCGUAGGGAAGCUGUCGCGGAACCGCGAUGGUUCCUCCAACCGGCCUAUGAUGUUUGUAUAACGUACCUUUCCAAGAGAACCGACGAGCACGAGCUCAGCGAUCGCUAAUCUCGAAACUGUCGUUUCUGUCGUUUCUGUCGUUUCUGUCAGUGCAGCUGCAACGCCGCGGUAUUUAUUUCAAAAUUUACAUGGUAUUUAUAAUGUAUUUAUGUGUAAAAUAUCGAAACAUCCGUAGAGUGACUAUUUGUAAGAUUUAUGGGCAAGUUGUCCUUCGUGUAAAUAGUGUAUCGAGUAAAUUCAGUGUAUCGAGGAAAAGUA